Molecule: long non-coding RNA, 191 nt
Organism: Mustela erminea (ermine)
Lineage: Eukaryota; Metazoa; Chordata; Mammalia; Carnivora; Mustelidae
Exons: 3
Source: RefSeq, a predicted model, not a curated record
UUGGAUAAAAGGGCACAACUAGACCAAGCACAGACUACAAGAUCUAUAAGGGGUCAGCCUAUGACAGAGCCUGGGCACUGAUGUCUACGAAAAGGACUGAUGAUGGUAGGAUUGGUGUGUUGGUCUACGUGCAGUGAUUUCCUGCGGGGCAGUUGCUGUCUGACGGAACCAGAAAUUCUUAACGACUCCCA